RNAcentral lists this ribosomal RNA (419 nucleotides) under uncultured Gemmatimonas sp. RNAcentral describes it as "bacterial SSU rRNA". It matches the Rfam family "Bacterial small subunit ribosomal RNA", at positions 355 to 774 of the family's 1533-position model. Lineage: Bacteria; Pseudomonadati; Gemmatimonadota; Gemmatimonadia; Gemmatimonadales; Gemmatimonadaceae. The record is from RNAcentral.
UGGGGAAUCUUGCGCAAUGGCCGAAAGGCUGACGCAGCGACGCCGCGUGUGGGAGGACGCCCUUCGGGGUGUAAACCACUGUUGCCCGGGACGAACAUCCUCUUUCGAGAGGACUGACGGUACCGGGUGAGGAAGCACCGGCUAACUCCGUGCCAGCAGCCGCGGUAAUACGGAGGGUGCGAGCGUUGUCCGGAAUCACUGGGCGUAAAGGGCGCGUAGGUGGCGCGGGUAGUCGUCGGUGAAAGCUCAGGGCUCAACCCUGAGUCGGCCGGUGAUACUCCCGUGCUCGAGUGUGGUAGAGGCCAAUGGAAUUCCGGGUGUAGCGGUGGAAUGCGUAGAGAUCCGGAAGAACACCGGUGGCGAAGGCGGUUGGCUGGGCCACAACUGACACUGAUGCGCGACAGCGUGGGGAGCAAACA